CCCCAGACUCCUACGGGAGGCAGCAGUGGGGAAUAUUGGGCAAUGGAGGAAACUCUGACCCAGCAAUGCCGCGUGAAUGAAGAAGGUCUUCGGAUUGUAAAGUUCUUUAGUCAGGGAAGAAGUCAAUGACGGUACCUGAAGAAUAAGCUCCGGCUAACUACGUGCCAGCAGCCGCGGUAAUACGUAGGGAGCAAGCGUUGUCCGGAAUUACUGGGUGUAAAGGGAGCGUAGGCGGGAUGGCAAGUUGGGUGUUAAAUCUACCGGCUCAACUGGUAGUCGCACUCAAAACUGCUAUUCUUGAGUGAAGUAGAGGCAGGCGGAAUUCCUAGUGUAGCGGUGAAAUGCGUAGAUAUUAGGAGGAACACCAGUGGCGAAGGCGGCCUGCUGGGCUUUUACUGACGCUGAGGCUCGAAAGUGUGGGGAGCAAACAGGAUUAGAUACCCCCGUA
RNAcentral lists this ribosomal RNA (448 nucleotides) under uncultured bacterium. Its description in RNAcentral is "partial 16S ribosomal RNA". It matches the Rfam family "Bacterial small subunit ribosomal RNA", at positions 329 to 792 of the family's 1533-position model. The record is from RNAcentral.